Small nucleolar RNA from Sparus aurata (gilthead seabream), 69 nucleotides. Its record names the gene SNORD42. It matches the Rfam family "Small nucleolar RNA SNORD42". From Rfam's summary of the family: snoRNA U42 is found in intron 3 of the ribosomal protein L23a (RPL23a) gene in humans and is also present in mice. U42 is a member of the C/D class of snoRNA which contain C (UGAUGA) and D (CUGA) box motifs. Lineage: Eukaryota; Metazoa; Chordata; Actinopteri; Spariformes; Sparidae. The record is from Ensembl.
GUGCAAAUGAUGUAAAAUUUUUAAAUAGUCUGAAUGUUUGUGAUGCAUUCAAAGGAACCACUGAUGCCA